AUCCCAGAUAAAGCUCUCUGUAGUUAUCUGAUUCAUCGGAGGCAGAUAUUGAAAGUGGAAGUUUUCGCUGAUAGCAUCCCUUAAUGAACUUCCAGGAGGUGUUUACUAGUGACUUUCCAAACAUGU
Molecule: small nucleolar RNA, 126 nt
Organism: Arachis stenosperma
Lineage: Eukaryota; Viridiplantae; Streptophyta; Magnoliopsida; Fabales; Fabaceae
Source: RefSeq, a predicted model, not a curated record